This 625-nucleotide ribosomal RNA is filed under the name Cryocola sp. RNAcentral describes it as "bacterial SSU rRNA". It matches the Rfam family "Bacterial small subunit ribosomal RNA", at positions 217 to 852 of the family's 1533-position model. The record is from RNAcentral. Lineage: Bacteria; Bacillati; Actinomycetota; Actinomycetes; Micrococcales; Microbacteriaceae.
GGUCAAGGAUGGACUCGCGGCCUAUCAGGUAGUUGGUGAGGUAACGGCUCACCAAGCCUACGACGGGUAGCCGGCCUGAGAGGGUGACCGGCCACACUGGGACUGAGACACGGCCCAGACUCCUACGGGAGGCAGCAGUGGGGAAUAUUGCACAAUGGGCGCAAGCCUGAUGCAGCAACGCCGCGUGAGGGAUGACGGCCUUCGGGUUGUAAACCUCUUUUAGUAGGGAAGAAGCGAAAGUGACGGUACCUGCAGAAAAAGCACCGGCUAACUACGUGCCAGCAGCCGCGGUAAUACGUAGGGUGCGAGCGUUGUCCGGAAUUAUUGGGCGUAAAGAGCUCGUAGGCGGUCUGUCGCGUCUGCUGUGAAAACCCGAGGCUCAACCUCGGGCCUGCAGUGGGUACGGGCAGACUAGAGUGCGGUAGGGGAGAAUGGAAUUCCUGGUGUAGCGGUGGAAUGCGCAGAUAUCAGGAGGAACACCGAUGGCGAAGGCAGUUCUCUGGGCCGUAACUGACGCUGAGGAGCGAAAGCGUGGGGAGCGAACAGGAUUAGAUACCCUGGUAGUCCACGCCGUAAACGUUGGGCGCUAGAUGUGGGGACCAUUCCACGGUUUCCGUGUCGCAGC